This is a long non-coding RNA of Globicephala melas (long-finned pilot whale), 3578 nucleotides long. RefSeq lists it as uncharacterized. NCBI's taxonomy places the organism in Eukaryota, Metazoa, Chordata, Mammalia, Artiodactyla, Delphinidae. The record is from RefSeq and is a predicted model, not a curated record.
CCUGUAAUCUGACCUGGUCCACAUGCCAUCCACCUCUCAGGGGUAUCUUCAAUCUUGAACCCCAUCCUUCCUGAACUCCAGGUGUGUGUUUCUAGUGGCCCACUUGACACCUCCCCGAGACACCCCGGCAAUAUCUCAGACUCAGCCUGGGGACAAGGAACUCUGGACAGUCCUUCUGUCCAUUACUCCUACUUCUGACUUCCCGUCUCAGACAUGGCAUCCCCACCGUCACCUAGAGGCAAACAUCCUGGGGUCAUGUCAGACUACUCUCUCUCAUCCUGUACAGCAGAAAAUCAGCUCUACCACAAACGAGAUUCAGAGACUCACCUCCUCUCCUGCUACAGAGCCAUUGCCAGGAUCCAGUCACAAUCGACAUUCAACAGGACUGUGCCCUCCACUUGGCCCCCGGCUCCACCCUCACCCCCAGUCUUCUUCCUCUCGGCAGGCAGAACAGCCUCUUCAGACCCAGCGUCAGAUCACUUCCCUCUUCUGAGGCCACGUGUCAUGGACCCGCCCCCUCAGGAGAGGCCCAGCUCCUCAGGCUGCCAUCACAGAAAUGACUAAUGACCUCAGUAUUUAUCAGCCCACGUCAUGGGUUCGGCAGUUCCCUGAAGACUCCCCUCUCAGUCUCAUCUCCAGGCUGUGCCCAAGGACAUGUCACCACUUGACCUUCUCCACUGGACACAUGGGAACACCUCUGUACAACUUCUGGCUUUGAUUAAUGGUCCUGUGCCUGAGAUGAUGACAGGGCCCAGACCUAAGGGCCCAUAAUCCCAGGACAACACUGUCUCCUAUAUCUGUGUGUCAGGACUAGGGGUAGCGAUGAUGUCUGGGUAGGUACUGGGGCUUCUUCCACUUACCUGUCCAGGGACCAUAAAUGCUGCUGCCACCAUGGGAACCUGUGAAAAGAGGGAGUAUCUGAGGUAAAGGUGAUUAUGGUGAGGAUGUAAAGGCUGAGCUGUUUCUUCCCUUCCUUUUCCUGGACAUGAGUCAUCUGAGGCUGACCUCUGACCUCAGAUCCUCACUCUUCAGAGCUAUAGCUUGACAACUCGAUAGCCUUAGACAAAGAUUCAACAUCCUUGGGACUUCCCUGGUGGUCCAGUGGUUAAGACUUCAAGCUUCCACUGCAGGGAGCCCGGGUGCCAUCCCUGGUUGGGGAACUAAGAUCCCACAUGCCGUGUGGUGUGGCAAGAAAAAAAACACUCACCCUCUUUGAGUCUCAGUGUCUUCAAGUAAAUGGCAACACUUAGGAUGUCUAACUCAUAAUGUGUACAUACCAAAUGCAUUAUUACCUCUCCCAUGGUAAGAUUCAGCUAUUACAGAACACAGGAUUAAGAUUUCUAUAAAUGUUUUUGAAAAUUAGGUUUUUCUUACAUGUCUUUCAAGGCUUUCUGAGACAAAGUAUCUUUUUUCAGCCACCAAUUAUCUAAUUUUAUGACACCACCAUGGUGCCCUAAAAUUCAUUCCUAUUAUUACACUACCUGAACUUAGUGACAGAAUCCACAGGUUUAAGGCAUCAAACCCAUAAACUGCCCUCUUUUGAGAAGCCAGUUCCGACCCCUGGUUCCCAGGCUACCAGGACUUCUGUCCCACUUGGCUACAAAUUCAGGGUUUCCCAUGAACCCCUUCUCUGUUUUGAUAAUUUGCUGAAAUGACCCAUGAAGUUAGGAAAACACUUUUCUUACUUUUUCUGGUUUACUGUAAUGUACAACUUUGGAACAGUCAAAUGGAAGCGACGUCUAGGUCAGGGUUGGGGAGGAUGGAGGGCAGCAGGGGGUUUCUAGGCCUUUUCAGUACAUGCCACCCUCCCAGCACUUCCACCAUUUCAAUGUGUUCACCAAUCUGAAGGAACCUUGAAUUUCAUUGUUCAGCAGUUUUUACACUUAAUCUCCAGCUCCCCCCUGAUCCUUGGGAGGUCCCAUGUGGAGAUGAAAGUUUAACCUUCUAUUCACCUUAUUUUCCAGGUGACCAGUCCAAUCCUGAGGUUAUCUAGGGGACCCACCUUUCCUGGGAGAGCUGAGGCACGUGUGCCCUUGACUGGGCCUGAGCUGCUCCACCACCCUGGCUGACCGUUUUCUGGCUCCACAAGGAAUAGACAGUCAGCUGCGUGUUCAGAGCAGUGAAGCUACACGUCACACCUUCUUCUCCAUCUCCAUCCCAGGACCCUGUGGGCGCGGUGGUGCCAGGAGACGCGCAGGAUAAUGGCGGAGACCUAGGCCGAAAAUCCCGGAAGCGGGUUCCGCAACCCGCUCACUCCUGGGCAGUGUGGACGGCGCCCCCUCAGGCUCCUUCCAGUUUCUCUAAGCUCCGCUCCACCGAGUGACCUAGAGCCUCGGGUCCUGCAGACGGCAGCAAAAGCCGCCAAACGACCGCCAUCAGAAAGACGCCGGAAGUCCCGCCCAUGGUUAGUUCAAAAUCCGGAAGAGCCUUAAUUUGGUGCCUUCAUUGGAGAGGAGAACAAGGCCGGUCCACGCAAGCUUCUGGAGAUCACCAUCGUGCCAGGACUUGGCCCAUUCUGGAGCAGUGCUGCAUAGCUUUGUGGUUAUACAUUACAGACACCAGAUGCCGCCAACCUGGUGUACAACUUUGUUCAGCUGCUCAUCAGAUCCCUGCCUUUCAGCAAGUACAUUUAUCUCCCUGAGAGUUGAUUUCAUCCUAUGGAAAAUGAUGCCUGUGAGGCACCUGCUUCAUGGGGAGGCUGUGAGGAAAAGCCAAAAUAGAAGCAUUUAGGGCCAGGCCCACAGGAAGAGAUGCCUAAAGCUUGCAGAUGAAGAUUCAAACCAUGUUCCUGAAAAGGAGACCAAAGUAUGCGUACACAAGGACAACCACGAGCUGACUGGAUGUGUGCCACACUGAGGAGCUUCCCACAGACAUCCAGAGGCAGGGAACUCCUGCCUCUGGAUGUCUGUGGGAAGCUCCUCAGUGUGGCCUCGUUGGGGGCCUGGUUGUUUCUUGCUCACAUCAAGGUCCAGUGUGGGUCAGAAUGGAGCUCUGGGGAGCACAAUUGUUCAGGGACCCAGGUUCCUUCUCCUGUCACCAUGUGGCUUUAAGUUUGCUCUGGCAUCAUCCUGUUUGCAUAGGAGAAAUGAGAGAGGAGGGCAGAAGUCAUAACCACUUGCACACAGACAUCCCUUCCACUCUCAUGCCAUUGACAGGAGGCCACACCUGGGUGCCAGGACUGGGACGUGUGGUUUGCUGUGUUCCUGAGGAGAUAAGAAAAUGAGCUUGGUUUACAAUCCCAUGGGAUGCUGAGAACGUGAAGCUCACCUUGCUGGAGUCAUUUUCUAAUUAACCUAAUUAAAUGGAUCUGAAAUAUUCUGUUCAUCAGUCUACUACUAUUUUUUUAAAUCGAAGUGUAGUUAAUUUACAAUGUUGUAUUAGUUUCAGAUGUACAGCAAACUGAUUCAUAUAUACAUAUAUCUUUGGAUUCUUUCCCAUUAUAGGUGAUUACAGGAUAUUGAAUAUAGUUCCCUGUGCUAUAGUUACUUUUUAAAAAUUCUCACUUUGCUCUUGACAAAUAGAAUGAUAAUCAUUUCUGUGGCUUUGUGUUGCUUGAGGAUGUAAUGACAUAAUGCACA